CCUGCGUUGUGCGUGAUAUUUAGGAAAUUUUAACCUAACAUUCAUUAAAUGGGAAUCCUGUUCAAGGAUACGGUGUGCAAGCCCUUUAAAAAGGGACGCCUAAAGUAUCCAUCAGGGUACCCACUUGGUUUACCCGGGUAAAAAUUUCCUUUCUACACGGCAACAGUGGGGCAACA
Molecule: non-coding RNA, 176 nt
Filed under: Nitrospirae bacterium RBG_16_43_11
Lineage: Bacteria; Pseudomonadati; Nitrospirota
Description: partial 6S RNA
Rfam family: 6S / SsrS RNA
About the family: E. coli 6S RNA was the first non coding RNA to be sequenced, but its function was unknown until recently. It consists of 184 nucleotides that fold into an extended hairpin structure with a large single-stranded internal bulge. The 6S RNA specifically associates with RNA polymerase holoenzyme containing the sigma70 specificity factor.
Source: RNAcentral